GCUGCUACCAUGCAGUCGAGCGAAGGGAGUACUACGGUACGAACUUAGCGGCGGACGGGUGAGUAACGCGUGGACAAUCUACCCUGUAGACUGGGAUAACACCUCGAAAGGGGUGCUAAUACCGGAUAAUGUCGAGAAGCGGCAUCGCUUUUCGAAGAAAGGAGGGAAUCCGCUAUAGGAGGAGUCCGCGUCCCAUUAGCUAGUUGGUGAGGGUAACGGCCCACCAAGGCGACGAUGGGUAGCCGGCCUGAGAGGGUGAACGGCCACACUGGAACUGAGACACGGUCCAGACUCCUACGGGAGGCAGCAGUGGGGAAUAUUGUGCAAUGGGGGAAACCCUGACACAGCGACGCCGCGUGAGUGAAGAAGGCCUUCGGGUCGUAAAGCUCAAUAGUAUGGGAA
Molecule: ribosomal RNA, 402 nt
Filed under: thermophilic bacterium enrichment culture clone OTU_2
Lineage: Bacteria
Description: bacterial SSU rRNA
Rfam family: Bacterial small subunit ribosomal RNA
Source: RNAcentral